This 301-nucleotide ribosomal RNA is filed under the name uncultured bacterium. Its description in RNAcentral is "partial 16S ribosomal RNA". It matches the Rfam family "Bacterial small subunit ribosomal RNA", at positions 509 to 809 of the family's 1533-position model. The record is from RNAcentral.
CAGUCGCCGCGGGAAUACGGAGGGUGCAAGCGUUAAUCGGAAUUACUGGGCGUAAAGCGCACGCAGGCGGUUUGUUAAGUCAGAUGUGAAAUCCCCGAGCUUAACUUGGGAAUGGCAGUGGAUACUGGCAAGCUAGAGUGUGUCAGAGGAUGGUGGAAUUCCCGGUGUAGCGGUGAAAUGCGUAGAGAUCGGGAGGAACAUCAGUGGCGAAGGCGGCCAUCUGGGACAACACUGACGCUGAGGCACGAAAGCGUGGGGAGCAAACAGGAUUAGAUACCCCAGUAGUCCCUGUCUCUUAUAA